Molecule: ribosomal RNA, 716 nt
Filed under: uncultured bacterium
Lineage: Bacteria
Description: bacterial SSU rRNA
Rfam family: Bacterial small subunit ribosomal RNA
Source: RNAcentral
GCCGCGUGCAGGAUGAAGGCCCUCGGGUUGUAAACUGCUUUUGUACGGAGCGAAAAGCCUGGGGCUAAUAUCCUCGGGUCAUGACGGUACCGUAAGAAUAAGCACCGGCUAACUACGUGCCAGCAGCCGCGGUAAUACGUAGGGUGCAAGCGUUAAUCGGAAUUACUGGGCGUAAAGCGUGCGCAGGCGGUUUUGUAAGACAGUGGUGAAAUCCCCGGGCUCAACCUGGGAACUGCCAUUGUGACUGCAAGGCUAGAGUGCGGCAGAGGGGGAUGGAAUUCCGCGUGUAGCAGUGAAAUGCGUAGGUAUUAGGAGGAACACCAGUGGCGAAGGCGGCUUUCUGGACCAAAACUGACGUUGAGGCACGAAAGUGUGGGGAGCAAACAGGAUUAGAUACCCUGGUAGUCCACACUGUAAACGAUGGAUACUAGGUGUAGGGGGUUAUAUGCCCUCUGUGCCAAAAGCAAACGCAAUAAGUAUCCCACCUGGGGAGUACGGCCGCAAGGUUGAAACUCAAAGGAAUUGACGGGGGCCCGCACAAGCAGUGGAGUAUGUGGUUUAAUUCGAAGCAACGCGAAGAACCUUACCAGGGCUUGACAUAUACAGGAAUAAUGUGGAAACAUGUUAGCUCUUCGGAGUCUGUAUACAGGUGGUGCAUGGUUGUCGUCAGCUCGUGUCGUGAGAUGUUGGGUUAAGUCCCGCAACGAGCGCAACCC